Molecule: non-coding RNA, 69 nt
Organism: Ictidomys tridecemlineatus (thirteen-lined ground squirrel)
Lineage: Eukaryota; Metazoa; Chordata; Mammalia; Rodentia; Sciuridae
Source: Rfam
GGAGUUGUGGCUCAGUGGUAGAGCACUUGCCUGGCAUGUGUGAGGCACGGGGUUCAAUUCUCAGCACCA